RNAcentral lists this ribosomal RNA (512 nucleotides) under uncultured bacterium. Its description in RNAcentral is "partial 16S ribosomal RNA". It matches the Rfam family "Bacterial small subunit ribosomal RNA", at positions 28 to 523 of the family's 1533-position model. The record is from RNAcentral.
GAUGAACGCUGGCGGCAUGCCUACUACAUGCAAGUCGAACGAGAGGAAGGAAAGCUUGCUUUUCUGAAUCUAGUGGCGAACGGGUGAGUAACACGUAGGUAACCUGCCCAUGUGCCCGGGAUAACUUCUGGAAACGGAUGCUAAAACCGGAUAGGUAGCAGACAAGCAUUUGACUGCUAUUAAAGUGGCUAAGGCCAUGAACAUGGAUGGACCUGCGGUGCAUUAGCUAGUUGGUGAGGUAACGGCCCACCAAGGCGACGAUGCAUAGCCGGCCUGAGAGGGCGGACGGCCACAUUGGGACUGAGACACGGCCCAAACUCCUACGGGAGGCAGCAGUAGGGAAUUUUCGUCAAUGGGGGGAGCCCUGAACGAGCAAUGCCGCGUGAGUGAGGAAGGUCUUCGGAUCGUAAAGCUCUGUUGUAAGAGAAAAACGACAUUCAUAGGGAAUGAUGAGUGAGUGAUGGUAUCUUACCAGAAAGUCACGGCUAACUACGUGCCAGCCGCUGCAGUAA